UCCCUCACAGGGUCACACCUGGAGAGUUUCCAGUACUCUACUAGGUUCGACUAUGGGAGGGAGAGUCAAGCAGAGGCCUACCCAUUCUAUUCCUAGCUUGGCCAGUGGCUAGCGAGUGGAAGGCAAUCUGCUACAAGU
Molecule: small nucleolar RNA, 138 nt
Filed under: Ornithorhynchus anatinus (platypus)
Lineage: Eukaryota; Metazoa; Chordata; Mammalia; Monotremata; Ornithorhynchidae
Source: RNAcentral